UCCCUGCUGGUUCAGUGGUUAGGACGCCAUACUUUCACUGCUGAGGGCCCAGGUUCAAUUCCUGGUUAAGGAA
Molecule: non-coding RNA, 73 nt
Organism: Budorcas taxicolor (takin)
Lineage: Eukaryota; Metazoa; Chordata; Mammalia; Artiodactyla; Bovidae
Source: the annotation of a RefSeq genome assembly